AAAAGGAAGAAGAGGGGCCUGAGCCAAGCAUGACCAUUUCUUCUUUCAAACUCCUGGUCAGUUAACUCACCACUUUUCAGGAGGCAAGUGCUGGGGUGAUCAAUGAAUGAGGAGGGGGAAGAAAACCACAGUACCCCAUGGAUUUACUAUUGUGGGAAAUGAGUAGGUGCUUCUAAUGACAACCUAUGGGUUGUGCAGUUCUGGAGCCAGAGAAAUAGAUUCUUUGCCAUCUGAAUGUUCCUCUUGGCAAAUGGAAGCCCAGAGCACUGGUCCAGGUGAGGUUCUAGAAUAGGGAGAGUAAGAAGUGCUGGACCAUGGCUGUGGCAUUUAGAGCCAUGAGAUUGAGAGAGUCCAGAUGGAAAAGAAGACUUGGGAAAGAAUAUGAGCAUAAAAUGUCUCCAUGGAUACAGGCCACAGGAACAGCAGGGAAGAUCCAGAGGGUUCUGGAGGGCGAGGAGGAGCAGGAUGGAGCCUGUUACCAGAAGUACUUGAAACCUCUUACUGAGACCCUUCAACCUCUCCUCUGAGGAGCUGUCAAGGGGAAGAGGACAGCAUCUGUUUUUAUAACUUCCAAGUGAACAUAGUCCUCUAUUUUACACCUAAUAGGUGCUCAUUAAAUUAUUUGGUAGUUGAAUUGAAGAGACUCUUCUAAAAAUUAGUAAAGCAAAGAAAAGUAGGCAAAAAAUGAAUAAUCCAUAGGCUUAACCCUUCUAAGGAAUGUAUGUAGUUUAAAAGAGGAUCUGGUUGUAGUAAAUUCAUGUGUAACUGAUAGAAUAUGCAGACAUGUUUGGACUCAAAGGUCUUAUGAGAAGUUUGAAUUUCUUCCCAACAUACACACAUUCCCUAGAAGUCCAAGGUUAGCAAUUUGGUGCCAUACUUAGUCAAAUCCCUUCCAUUGUUUGAAUUUUAUGGCUUCUUCUAGGGAAGAUCAGCUUUCCUCUCAUUUUUGGCAUUGGUCUGCAUAUUAAGAUCUAUAGAUCUUAUUAGGUCUUAGAAAUACAUAUUCAUGACAGCAAUUCCUAUCUGGAGGAUUUAUUAGGAUAUUUAAUGUUUGCCAUAGUAAUAGAGAUUAAAAGUAGGGCCACCACCUCAAAACUCAAAUCUCCUUACAGAAUUAUAGAAUUCACAUACAUCACAGAAUCCACAUAAAUUGCAGAAUAACUGCCAUAUAUGACAAUUGUGAAGCCAAUGGAAUGUGAUGCAGUGAAGUUAGAUUUUAUGUUUAUUUUGCCUUUUUAUCAAGUAAGUGGAGAGUUGCUGAUGUCAGGAAAGUUUCUAAUUGAGAAUCCCUAAUGCACAGUGUCCUGAUGAGUGGCGACCUUCUCAGCGAGGACUGACAACCACACGGGUUCCUACUUCAUGACCAGACCAGGGUCACCAUGGAGACAUUUCUCAUUGGAUCAGCUUAUUAUGCCAUAGGAAACAUCUGAUUGAAAUGGAACUCACUGACCUAAAGCUCCUAAAAAAAAAUUUUCUAGGUCAGUGACAGACAAGUUGGCUGCUUCAAAAAAGGUAUUUACUGUAAUUCUGGAGAUCAUAUUGGGUCGCAAACUUGCUGCCUGUGAGUGCAAUCCAGCCCACAGGUUCAUUCUGUGUGACAGGCACUGUGUUUAAAAGGUAAGAAUUGGAGGGCCUUUAGGUGGGAAGUGCCCUCUCCAGUUUACAGCGAGCCUCAUCAUUUCCUAUUGUCCUAGACUUAGCCGCAUGACACAUUACAUGUCACCUGCCAGGCCUCUAAAAACGUGAAAAUCAUGACCUUCAGGCAUUCUGUUCAUGGUCCAUCCAUGUGCCCUGUGCCCUAGGUUUGACUUGAGGUUUCUCACCGAUGCUUCCCACAGCUGGGCCUUGUUCCUCACAAAGAGUUUCUGGUGAAACCAGAGUCAUAAAGACUGGAUUAAGAGGAAAGUCCAAGGAAUCCCAGGAUCUAAGAGCUUGCAGGAAAACUUAAGAAUUUGGGAUCCUGCAACCCCUGAUGAGCAACCUGAGACACAGAAAAGGGAAAUGCCUUGGAAAGGUCAGCCCCAGAAGGAAGAGAGCAGAGAGGGAAACCCAGGACUAGUGAUUCCCCAUCCUGUAUGCUUCACCCACCACCCCACGCAGCUGGCCUGAAUGAUUGGUGUAGCCCUUCCCCACAUUCCUAGAGAGUGUGUCUUUUACAAAGCCACCGUCCACACAUACAGAGUGGCACCAGCUAUGCAACCAACCCCUCUUACACUAGACCGCUGUGUCUGGUGACUUGAAAGUCAAGGCCAAUGUGGUCACACUAAGGCCACUAAGUCUUAAAGAAAAGUACUUCUCUAUCAUUGGCAGAGAACUUUAGGCUGGAGACAGAUUAAAGUUUAAAACAAAUCCAAGGAGUCAACUUUGUAGACAACACAGGUUAUUUAAGCCUCUGUUCCUUCUUUGUUAGAGUACACUGAAACUUUUCUUCAGAGCUGACCCUGGAAGUAGGCAGAAAGGUUGCUGUCUCUUUAAGUUGCCUUAAACUACCUCAGGAGAGCUUCCAUCAGCCAAAAAUCCCCUUGUAGAGCAGCCCUUCCAUUCUCAACCAAGGCAAAAAUACUUGAAAUUCAGUUAAUAGCAAUUCAUUCAUAUGAGCUAAAUGUUGCCCCCUUGA
This 2617-nucleotide long non-coding RNA is filed under the name Homo sapiens (human). RNAcentral describes it as "long intergenic non-protein coding RNA 2934". The record is from RNAcentral. Lineage: Eukaryota; Metazoa; Chordata; Mammalia; Primates; Hominidae.